AUUGAACGCUGGCGGCAUGCCUUACACAUGCAAGUCGAGCGGCAGCGCGGGGGCAACCCUGGCGGCGAGCGGCGGACGGGUGAGUAAUACAUCGGAACGUGUCCUUUCGUGGGGGAUAACCAGUCGAAAGACUGGCUAAUACCGCAUGAGAUCUCACGAUGAAAGCGGGGGACCGCAAGGCCUCGCGCGAUUGGAGCGGCCGAUGUCGGAUUAGCUAGUUGGCGGGUAAAAGCCCACCAAGGCUACGAUCCGUAGCUGGUUUGAGAGAACGACCAGCCACACUGGGACUGAGACACGGCCCAGACUCCUACGGGAGGCAGCAGUGGGGAAUUUUGGACAAUGGGGGCAACCCCUGAUCCAGCCAUGCCGCGUGUGUGAAGAAGGCC
This 386-nucleotide ribosomal RNA is filed under the name uncultured bacterium. RNAcentral's name for it is "bacterial SSU rRNA". It matches the Rfam family "Bacterial small subunit ribosomal RNA", at positions 29 to 416 of the family's 1533-position model. The record is from RNAcentral.